Molecule: ribosomal RNA, 254 nt
Filed under: uncultured bacterium
Lineage: Bacteria
Description: partial 16S ribosomal RNA
Rfam family: Archaeal small subunit ribosomal RNA
Source: RNAcentral
UACCAGCACCCCGAGUGGUCGGGACGUUUAUUGGGCCUAAAGCAUCCGUAGCCGGUUCUACAAGUCUUCCGUUAAAUCCAGCUGCUUAACAGAUGGGCUGCGGAAGAUACUAUGGAGCUAGGAGGCGGGAGAGGCAAGCGGUACUCGAUGGGUAGGGGUAAAAUCCGUUGAUCCAUUGAAGACCACCAGUGGCGAAGGCGACUCUUUGGCCUGUAACUGACGCUGAGGCGCGAAAGCGUGGGGGAGCAAACAGG